RNAcentral lists this ribosomal RNA (236 nucleotides) under uncultured Aminicenantes bacterium. RNAcentral describes it as "partial 16S ribosomal RNA". It matches the Rfam family "Bacterial small subunit ribosomal RNA", at positions 1147 to 1382 of the family's 1533-position model. Lineage: Bacteria; Candidatus Aminicenantota. The record is from RNAcentral.
ACCGCCCCGGGAUAACGGGGAGGAAGGCGGGAUGACGUCAAGUCAGCAUGGCCCUUAUGUCCAGGGCUACACACGUGCUACAAUGGGCGAUACAGAGGGAAGCAAGGCCGCAAGGUAGAGCUAAAUCCCUAAAGUCGUCCUCAGUUCGGAUUGCAGGCUGCAACUCGCCUGCAUGAAGUCGGAAUCGCUAGUAAUCGCGGAUCAGCUACGCCGCGGUGAAUACGUUCCCGGGCCUU